GCCUGGAUAGCUCAGUUGGUUAGAGCAUGGUGCUGAUAAUGCCAAGGUUGCCAGUUCGAUCCCUGUAUGGGACA
This 74-nucleotide transfer RNA is filed under the name Podarcis lilfordi (Lilford's wall lizard). Its description in RNAcentral is "tRNA.Ile". The record is from RNAcentral. Lineage: Eukaryota; Metazoa; Chordata; Lepidosauria; Squamata; Lacertidae.